AUUGAACGCUGGCGGCAUGCCUUACACAUGCAAGUCGAACGGCAGCAUGAUCUAGCUUGUUAGAUUGAUGUCGAGUGGCGAACGGGUGAGUAAUACAUCGGAACGUGCUCUGUAGUGGGGGAUAACUAGUCGAAAGAGUAGCUAAUACCGCAUACGACUUGAGGGUGAAAGUGGGGGACCGCAAGGCCUCAUGCUAUAGGAUCGGCCGAUGUCUGAUUAGCUAGUUGGUGAGGUAAAGGCUUACCAAGGCGACGAUCAGUAGCUGGUCUGAGAGGUCGAUCAGCCACACUGGGACUGAGACACGGCCCAGACUCCUACGGGAGGCAGCAGUGGGGAAUUUUGGACAAUGGGCGAAAGCCUGAUCCAGCAAUGCCGCGUGUGUGAAGAAGGCCUUCGGGUUGUAAAGCACUUUUGUCCGGAAAGAAAUGGCUCUGAUUAAUCCCUGCAGUCGAUGACGGUACCGAAAGAAUAAGGCACGGCUAACUACGUG
RNAcentral lists this ribosomal RNA (490 nucleotides) under uncultured bacterium. Its description in RNAcentral is "partial 16S ribosomal RNA". It matches the Rfam family "Bacterial small subunit ribosomal RNA", at positions 30 to 507 of the family's 1533-position model. The record is from RNAcentral.